GAUGAACGCUAGCGGCGCGCUUAUGCAUGCAAGUCGAGCGAUGAGGCCCUUUCGGGGGUACAUCAGCGGCAGACGGGCGAGUAACACGUGGGUGACCUACCCUAAAGACGGGGAUAACCCUCGGAAACGGGGGCUAAUACCGGAUAGCUACAGCGUACGGGGGUAUGUUGUAGAAAGCUACGGCGCUUUAGGAGGGGCCUGCGGCCCAUCAGCUAGUUGGUGGGGUAAUGGCCCACCAAUGCGAAGACGGGUAGGGGGCGUGAGAGCGCGGUCCCCCACACUGGCACUGAGAUACGGGCCAGACUUCUACGGAAGGCAGCAGUCGGGGAUAUUGCACAAUCGGCGAAAGCCGGAUGCAGCGACGCCGCGUGGGCGAUGAAGGCCUUCGGGUUGUAAAGCCCUUUUAUGGGGGAAGAGACAAGGACGGUACCCCAAGAAUAAGCGUCGGCUAACUACGUGCCAGCAACCGCGGUAAAACGUAGGACGCAAGCGUUAUCCGGAUUUACUGGGCGUAAAGAGCGUUGAGGCGGUUCCGUAAGUUGGGCGUGAAAGCCCCGGGCUUAACCCGGGGAGGUCGUUCAAUACUGCGGGACUUGAGGGCAGCAGAGGGAGGCGGAAUUCCCGGUGUAGCGGUGAAAUGCGUAGAUGUCGGGAGGAACACCAGUGGCGAAGGCGGACUCCUGGGCUGUUUCUGACGCUGAAGGCGAAAGCUAGGGGAGCGAACGGGAUUAGAAACCCCGGUAGUCCUAGCCGUAAACGAUGGAUGCUGGGUGUGCGGGGUAUAGAUCCCUACGAGGCCGAAGACUAACGCGUUAAGCAUCCCGCCUGGGGAUUACGGCCGCAAGGCUUAAACUCAAUCGAAUGUUCUGGGUCCCGCACAAGCAUCUGAGCUUUUGGUUUAAUUCGAUGCUACACGAAGAACCUUACCUGGGCUUGACAUGUAGGUAGUAGUGAAGCGAAAGCGGAACGACCCUUCGGGGAGCCUACACAGGUGAUGCAUGGCUGUCGUCAGUUCGUGCCGUGAGGUGUCGGGUUAAGUCCCGUAACGAACGCAACCCUUGCCCUUAAGUUACAUGUGUCUAAGGGGACUGCCCGGGACAACUGGGAGGAAGGUGGGGAUGACGUCAAGUCAGCAUGGCCUUUAUGUCCAGGGCUACACACACGCUACAAUGGCCGGUACAAUGGGUCGCCAAGCCGUGAGGCGGAGCCAAUCCCCCAAAGCCGGUCUAAGUUCGGAUUGUGGGCUGCAACUCGCCCAUAUGAAGCUGGAGUUGCUAGUAACUGCGCGUCAGCAAUAGUGCGGUGAAUACGUUCCCGGGCCUUGUACACACCGCCCGUCACGUCAUGGAAGCUGGCAACACCUGAAGCCAGUGAGC
RNAcentral lists this ribosomal RNA (1376 nucleotides) under uncultured organism. Its description in RNAcentral is "16S ribosomal RNA". It matches the Rfam family "Bacterial small subunit ribosomal RNA". The record is from RNAcentral.